CCGUAGGGUAGGCGACAAUAUUGCUUAGCUUCUGUUAAGGCUUCUGUUAUACUUAAC
RNAcentral lists this non-coding RNA (57 nucleotides) under Plasmodium falciparum 3D7. Lineage: Eukaryota; Apicomplexa; Aconoidasida; Haemosporida; Plasmodiidae. The record is from RNAcentral.